UAGCAUCUGUUGCUGGUACACACGAAUAGAGAGAGAAAGAUGGACCUCUCUCCGCAUCACCGCUGCAAACCACCGCAAACUACAUCCUCCACCUUAUGAUUGAGCAAACGGAGUAUGAAUCGCAAGAACAGGCGCAUGAUAGCUAAAGAGUUAUGAUCGUUUUGACAACGAAGGAAGAGGAUAGGUUGAGCGGCGUAGCAGCGGCGAUAGUCGCUGGAAAUGUCAUGGUUGAUUUUCCGAUUGGGUGGUGGUGAGUGAAGACGGUGACAGUAGGAUUAGGGCAAGAGGAUGUGAGUUGAAGGUGAAAGUGAGAUCUGAAUUUAUUGCCCCCUUUUGAACAGCCGCAAAGACCACAACCUGAACCUUCAACCAAUGUCUUUGUUUAAGUGUUCGGUUAUGCAUCUACUUAAGAAAGAAGAAGCAAACUUUUUAAUCCAUUGCUAGGGGAGACUUAUGAAGCAGAUUAUCCAGAUAAAGGCCUUCGGGUUUUUGUGAAAAGGUAAGUCAUCACCCGAUAACUUCACUCUAAAUUUGAAUCUUGGAUCCUAGCAAUGUAAAUGGUAGACGCCAAGUUUUUUGAGAACAUCCCCGUGCUGCUCUUUAGAGUGAACAUGAAGUGCCAGAAGACGUCAACCGUAACUUAAACUGCCACACUUUAUGUAAUACACAGAACCCCGUCGCAACGCGGCGGACACUAAUAAUAGUUUUAUCACUAAAUUUAAUAUUUUGGUGUGGUUGUAUGAUUAUUACGGUUUUAGAUGCAUGGAAUCUUGACCAAUUCAAUUCAAGGUAAAAGAAAGACGUGUUAAUCAUCCAAACGGUUAAUUAUUCAGACAUUUAUAUAUUUAUACUUAAUAAAUAGGUAACUGGUUAUGUCACGUAUCAUAAUUCUAUGAGCUCAUAAUUUUUUUUUUGUUUUUCUU
This 923-nucleotide long non-coding RNA is filed under the name Helianthus annuus (common sunflower). The record is from RNAcentral. Lineage: Eukaryota; Viridiplantae; Streptophyta; Magnoliopsida; Asterales; Asteraceae.